This 242-nucleotide ribosomal RNA is filed under the name uncultured bacterium. Its description in RNAcentral is "partial 16S ribosomal RNA". It matches the Rfam family "Bacterial small subunit ribosomal RNA", at positions 15 to 275 of the family's 1533-position model. The record is from RNAcentral.
GAUCCUGGCUCAGGAUGAACGCUGGCGGCGUGCCUAACACAUGCAAGUCGAGCGAUCUCUUCGGAGAGAGCGGCGGACGGGUGAGUAACGCGUGGGUAACCUGCCCUGUACACACGGAUAACAUACCGAAAGGUAUGCUAAUACGGGAUAAUAUAUAAGAGUCGCAUGACUUUUAUAUCAAAGAUUUUUCGGUACAGGAUGGACCCGCGUCUGAUUAGCUUGUUGGCGGGUACGCCACAGCG